GAUGAGCGCUAGCGGCAGGCCUAACACAUGCAAGUCGAGGGGUAGCAGGAUUAAGCUUGCUUAAUUGCUGACGACCGGCGCACGGGUGCGUAAUGCGUAUGCAACCUACCUUAUACUGGGGUAUAGCCCGGAGAAAUUCGGAUUAAUCCCCCAUAGUACUAAUGAAUCGCAUGGUUUAUUAGUUAAAGCAUUGCGGUAUAAGAUGGGCAUGCGUCCUAUUAGCUAGAUGGUGAGGUAACGGCUCACCAUGGCUACGAUAGGUAGGGGGCCUGAGAGCGUGGUCCCCCACACUGGUACUGAGACACGGACCAGACUCCUACGGGAGGCAACAGUGAGGAAUAUUGGUCAAUGGGCGCAAGCCUGAACCAGCCAUGCCGCGUGCAGGAAGAAUGCCCUAUGGGUUGUAAACUGCUUUUAUUUGGGAAUAAACCUCUUUACGUGUAGAGAGCUGAAGGUACCAAAUGAAUAAGCACCGGCUAACUCCGUGCCAGCCGCCGCAGUAA
This 503-nucleotide ribosomal RNA is filed under the name uncultured bacterium. Its description in RNAcentral is "partial 16S ribosomal RNA". It matches the Rfam family "Bacterial small subunit ribosomal RNA", at positions 28 to 523 of the family's 1533-position model. The record is from RNAcentral.